Molecule: ribosomal RNA, 2862 nt
Filed under: Triticum aestivum (bread wheat)
Lineage: Eukaryota; Viridiplantae; Streptophyta; Magnoliopsida; Poales; Poaceae
Description: partial small subunit ribosomal RNA
Source: RNAcentral
AUGCAGCUGGCAGUGGCUCUGCUCUGCCUCCUGAGCAUCUCCGGCGAGCUUUUGAUGCCCCUGUGUGAGGGGUGUGUGCAGGCCGAUAAGAGAGCGCUUCUGGACAUCCACAUCCAGCUCUCCACGCUGCCGCACAUCGACUGGGACAGGUCGGACUGGGACUGGGGUGACGGACAUUGCUGCCAGUGGCUGGGGGUGACCUGCAGCAACUCCCGCCCCGCCCGUGUGACGGGCCUCAAUCUUCUUGCAUUUGUUCCUUCCCCGUGGCUCCUCAACGCUACUAUGUUCCUUUCCUUCCAAGAACUGCAGACCCUCACCCUGAGUUUAAAUAUAAAGGGAUGCAUACCUGGUGCAGUUUUUUUUUUUGGCAAGUUAGACCCAAAUUAUAGUCAAUUUUUUUUUGCAAAUCAACUAUGUUGCCAUGGCUAUCCUAGUUUCUUUAGUUCUACCAACUAUUUCGUCUUGCCAUCUCCUCUGUUGCUUCAACACUUCAGAUUAUGUUUCAAUGUGUGGUCAAAAUUACGAAAAUUAAGAAGCCUUGAUCUAUCUGGAAAUAUCUUGAGUGCCGAUAGCAUCCGAUCCCUAGUUGCAGUUUCAUCACUACGGUGCCUGUCCAUCAGUUCAAAUGACUUGACCUCCCCCGUGGCGAUUCAACAUUUGAGUACAAUGAAGCUGGAUACUCUUGAUCUAAGCGAUAAUGCAUUCAACGGCACCUUACCAACAGAUAUUUGCAACAUGGAAAACCUUGAAGAAUUAUAUCUUCUUAGCAGUACGUUAUUUGGAGAGCUUCCAUCGUGCAUAGGGAAUCUUACUUCUCUCAGAAUUCUUGAUCUGUCGAAUAAUCUAUUUACGAUAAAGUUUCCCUCUCUUAGCUUUGCCCAUUUGACUUCAUUGGUGAAACUUUCCCUAUCCAAUAACAAUCUUGAAGGAGUUCUCUUCCUAGGUUCCUUGUCAAACAGUAGCCAAUUGACACAUCUGGAUCUUUCAAGCAGUGGUAACCAUUUUCAACUGGAAACUGUGACUUCAACAAUUAGCCUGUCAGCUCAGCUGCAGGUUAUGGUACUGCCAAACUGUAACCUUAAUGGCAAUUCUGCCGUUAUAUUAAGUUUCUUAUCGCAUCAACAUGCAUUAGAAGCUGUUGAUAUCUCUAAUAAUAACCUAAACGGUCACUUCCCUUCGUGGUUGAUAGAGAAAAAUGUGAAUUUGUCACAUCUAAAUCUGCAAGGCAACUCCUUUAGUGGAAUUCUUCCGCUUCCAUUCAAACUAAGCAAAUUACCUACGGGCAUCAACAUCACAUUCCCAAAUCUGUACUAUGUAAACCUGUCUAGGAAUUCCUUCCAGGGCAUCUUUCCUUCGGGGCUUCACUAUAUAGACAGCCUGACAUUUUUGGACUUGUCUAACAACAAUUUCUUCGAUAACAUAGUGUCCGCCUUUAAUGGAAGCAAGUCCAAUAUCCGUUCUUUGUUCCUGUCUGGCAACAAUUUCUAUGGUUCAUUCCCUCAAGACAUACUAUUAGCUUCCACCUACCAUCUACUACUCAACGAUAACCAAAUCACCGGGGAAAUCCCUGAUAAUAUAUGUCUUGGUCAGCAACUUACUUUGCUUGAUGUUAGCAGUAACAAGUUGACUGGCUCUCUCCCUACUUGCAUACAUGCACUCGAAAAUAUUGCCAUCUUGAAUCUAAGAGGCAAUUCAUUGGGUGGACCGAUUCCGCUGGAAUUAUGCCACCUUAAAAAUCUUGUGUUCCUCGAUAUGUCAAAAAACAGCCUUUCCGGUCCAGUGCAAUGCUUACCCAGUUUGCAGUAUCUUCACCUGAGUGAAAAUCGACUAAAUGGAACGUUCCCUUUCCCAUUGUCCUGGGGAACUGGUACAUACACAAUGGAUCUACGGCAGAACCAAUUCAGUGGAAUCCUUCCAGAAUUGAUGCACAAGUCCUUUCCAAAGCUAAAAAUAUUGUUGCUCGAAGGAAAUAUGUUUGAAGGACUGAUUCCAAAUGAUAUAUGUCACUUAAGGUAUUUGCGUCUACUAGAUCUGUCUCAUAAUAAGCUCUCUGGGCAGCUACCUUCAUGCUUGAGCCAUAUGGGGUUAGAUGGUGAUUUGUAUAACUUCCUAUACAAUGACUCAGAUACUUCAGUAGUAAUGAAUGACACCGAUGGCUAUGCUGGGAGCGUAGUAGGUAGUUCUCCCGUGCCUGAAUUUUUCAUAGGACCAGACCAAGAAGAAUUCAUGACCAAGAGCAGGCAAGACAAAUACAAGGGAAACAUCCUCAGUUACAUGUCUGGACUUGAUUUCUCUUCAAACCAGUUGGAAGGAUACAUUCCUAAAAGUAUAGGUGACAUGAAAUGGUUACGGGCACUGAAUUUUUCCAACAAUCGCUUUCAUGGACCAAUACCAGGUUCCUUGUCACAUUUAAGUAAUCUCGAGACCUUGGAUCUGUCGCACAACAACUUGACAGGUCAAAUACCACAAGAGUUGGUGGAACUACACUCUCUCGAGGUAUUCAGUGUGGCGUACAAUAACUUGUCCGGUCCUACGUUGGGUAGAAACGGUCAAUUCAUCACAUUUGAUGAGAGCAGCUAUGCGGGCAAUCCAUAUCUCUGCGGCCCACCACUGCUGAAGAGUUGCUUUGAUGCACCGUUGAUUCCUCAGCCUAAAGAAGAUGAAGAUGAUAGUAAACUUGGCAAUCUUGCACUAUUCAGUUUUUCAGUGUUGUGCUACAUGAUUGGUUUCUGGACCUCCUUGGUUGUGCUUUAUUUCAAGAGAAGCUGGCGAUGGUCAUGGUUUUCAGCAGUGGACAGGCUUGGUGACAUUCUGAUGGUUAGGUCAGCUUUAUACAUGACAAGGUUUAACCGCACCGACUGA